RNAcentral lists this ribosomal RNA (721 nucleotides) under uncultured Enterobacter sp. RNAcentral's name for it is "partial 16S ribosomal RNA". It matches the Rfam family "Bacterial small subunit ribosomal RNA", at positions 32 to 726 of the family's 1533-position model. Lineage: Bacteria; Pseudomonadati; Pseudomonadota; Gammaproteobacteria; Enterobacterales; Enterobacteriaceae. The record is from RNAcentral.
AAUUCCGGCGCUACCAUGCAGUCGAACGGUAACAAUGUAAUGCACGCUUGCUGUGCUCGCUGACGAGUGGCGGACGGGUGACUAAUGUCUGGCACACUGCCUGAUGGACGGGGAUAACUACUGGACACUGGAGCUCAUACCCUAUUACCUCACAAUAUGUUUUCCCGGGAGCUUCAAUCCUCUUGCACUCUUCUGUGCCCCUAUGGGAUUAGCUCGUGCUGCAUGAAACAGCUGGUGGGGUAAACGAUCCCUAGCUGGUCUGAGAGGAUGACCCAUGUGCUGGUGACUGAGACACGGGCCAGACUCCUAACGGAGGCAGCACUGGGGAAUAUUGCACAAUGGGCGCAUGCCUGAUGCAGCCAUGCCGCGAGUAUGAAGAAGGCCUUCUGGUUGUAAAGUACUUUCAGCGGGGAGGAAGGUGUUGAGAGAAAAAAACUUGGGAGAGGACACUGCCCGCCUUGACACUGUCUCUAACCAAAGCGCCAGCGUCUCACUAUGUCCGGAGGGGCGCGAGAUAUUCAUGUGAGGACCGUGUUGUCCAUAUAUUUUGCGUAUAAUGUCGAGCGCAGAUGUUUCUUAUGUGUGAUAUGUCAGAGCUCUGCUCUCCAGACGGGGGGGCUUGUGGACUGGGAGAGGUGGGGUGCGUACCAGAAGAUUGGAAUUCAUGUGUGACGUUGUAAAGCGAUUUAUAUAUAGAGGUUAACUUGUGUUUAUUACUAAU